GCGGGUGUAGCUCAGUCGGUUGGAGCGCCAGUUUGUGGCACUGGAGGUCGUGGGUUUAAUCCCCAUCACUCGCCCCA
RNAcentral lists this transfer RNA (77 nucleotides) under Thalassospira profundimaris. Its description in RNAcentral is "tRNA-His". It matches the Rfam family "tRNA". Rfam says of the family: Transfer RNA (tRNA) molecules are approximately 80 nucleotides in length. Lineage: Bacteria; Pseudomonadati; Pseudomonadota; Alphaproteobacteria; Rhodospirillales; Thalassospiraceae. RNAcentral also lists the same sequence under 1 other name. The record is from RNAcentral.